RNAcentral lists this unclassified non-coding RNA (353 nucleotides) under soil metagenome. RNAcentral's name for it is "partial contains 5.8S ribosomal RNA, internal transcribed spacer 2, and large subunit ribosomal RNA". The stretch from base 1 to 120 matches the Rfam family "5.8S ribosomal RNA", at positions 35 to 154 of the family's 154-position model. The record is from RNAcentral.
GAUGAAGAACGUAGCGAAAUGCGAUAAGUAAUGUGAAUUGCAGAAUUCAGUGAAUCAUCGAAUCUUUGAACGCACAUUGCGCCCGCCAGUAUUCUGGCGGGCAUGCCUGUUCGAGCGUCAUUACAACCCUCAGGCCCCCGGGCCUGGCGUUGGGGAUCGGCGGAAGCCCCCUGCGGGCACAAUGCCGUCCCCCAAAUACAGUGGCGGUCCCGCCGCAGCUUCCAUUGCGUAGUAGCUAACACCUCGCAACUGGAGAGCGGCGCGGCCACGCCGUAAAACACCCAACUUCUGAAUGUUGACCUCGAAUCAGGUAGGAAUACCCGCUGAACUUAAGCAUAUCAAUAAGCGGAGGA